UACGUAGGGUGCGAGCGUUGUCCGGAAUUACUGGGCGUAAAGAGCUCGUAGGCGGUUUGUCGCGUCGUCUGUGAAAACCAGCAGCUCAACUGCUGGCUUGCAGGCGAUACGGGCAGACUUGAGUACUGCAGGGGAGACUGGAAUUCCUGGUGUAGCGGUGAAAUGCGCAGAUAUCAGGAGGAACACCGGUGGCGAAGGCGGGUCUCUGGGCAGUAACUGACGCUGAGGAGCGAAAGCGUGGGGAGCGAACAGG
RNAcentral lists this ribosomal RNA (253 nucleotides) under uncultured bacterium. RNAcentral describes it as "partial 16S ribosomal RNA". It matches the Rfam family "Bacterial small subunit ribosomal RNA", at positions 524 to 776 of the family's 1533-position model. The record is from RNAcentral.